GGGGAAUAUUGGACAAUGGGGGCAACCCUGAUCCAGCAAUGCCGCGUGUGUGAAGAAGGUCUUCGGAUUGUAAAGCACUUUUCGACGGGGACGAUGAUGACGGUACCCGUAGAAGAAGCCCCGGCUAACUUCGUGCCAGCAGCCGCGGUAAUACGAAGGGGGCUAGCGUUGCUCGGAAUGACUGGGCGUAAAGGGCGUGUAGGCGGUUUACACAGUCAGAUGUGAAAUCCCCGGGCUUAACCUGGGAGCUGCAUUUGAUACGUGUAGACUAGAGUGUGAGAGAGGGUUGUGGAAUUCCCAGUGUAGAGGUGAAAUUCGUAGAUAUUGGGAAGAACACCGGUGGCGAAGGCGGCAACCUGGCUCAUGACUGACGCUGAGGCGCGAAAGCGUGGGGAGCAAACAGGAUUAGAUACCCUGGUAGUCCACGCUGUAAACGAUGUGUGCUAGAUGUUGGGU
RNAcentral lists this ribosomal RNA (456 nucleotides) under uncultured bacterium. RNAcentral describes it as "partial 16S ribosomal RNA". It matches the Rfam family "Bacterial small subunit ribosomal RNA", at positions 356 to 828 of the family's 1533-position model. The record is from RNAcentral.